AGAUAUAUUUAAUAACUCGUAUAUACCUUGAAUAAGGCAGGGCGUAUCUACCGGAAACCGUAAACUUCCGACUAUGAGUGGUAUUAGUA
Molecule: non-coding RNA, 89 nt
Filed under: Clostridium neonatale
Lineage: Bacteria; Bacillati; Bacillota; Clostridia; Eubacteriales; Clostridiaceae
Description: Purine riboswitch
Rfam family: Purine riboswitch aptamer
About the family: Riboswitches are metabolite binding domains within certain messenger RNAs that serve as precision sensors for their corresponding targets. Allosteric rearrangement of mRNA structure is mediated by ligand binding, and this results in modulation of gene expression.
Source: RNAcentral